AGCACCUGCUGUCUUAUCGCGCUCCGAUUCGUUGGGGGGAGGAAAGUCCGGGCAGCGCAGAGCACCAUACUUCCUAACGGGAAGGAGGCCGGUUGGCGACGACCGGCCGACAGCCAGUGCCACAGAAAAUAUACCGCCGAUUCGUCGGUAAGGGUGAAAAGGUAGAGUAAGAGCCUACCGCCCGGCGGGUAACCGACGGGGCAGGGUAAACCUUAUGGGCUGAAAGACCAAAUAUGCGUCGGACGCGAGGCUGCUCGUCUCCGUAGUCUUCGGGCGAUGCCGACGCGGGUAGGUCGAUAGAGGGCGACGGCGACGGCGUCCCCAGAUAAAUGAUGAGAGCCUUACCAAAAGGUGAGGAACAGAACCCGGCUUAUAGGCAGGUGCUGAAU
Molecule: RNase P RNA, 389 nt
Filed under: Fibrella sp.
Lineage: Bacteria; Pseudomonadati; Bacteroidota; Cytophagia; Cytophagales; Spirosomataceae
Description: Bacterial RNase P class A
Rfam family: Bacterial RNase P class A
About the family: Ribonuclease P (RNase P) is a ubiquitous endoribonuclease, found in archaea, bacteria and eukarya as well as chloroplasts and mitochondria. Its best characterised activity is the generation of mature 5'-ends of tRNAs by cleaving the 5'-leader elements of precursor-tRNAs.
Source: Rfam by way of RNAcentral